Molecule: microRNA, 24 nt
Filed under: Pristionchus pacificus
Lineage: Eukaryota; Metazoa; Nematoda; Chromadorea; Rhabditida; Neodiplogasteridae
Description: ppc-miR-8309-5p
Source: miRBase by way of RNAcentral
UGGCAAUGCGUUCAGCUGCCAGCG